Panthera pardus (leopard) is the source of this 109-nucleotide ribosomal RNA. Lineage: Eukaryota; Metazoa; Chordata; Mammalia; Carnivora; Felidae. The record is from Ensembl.
ACCUAUGGCCAUACCACUCUGAACAUGCCUGAUCUCACCUGAUCAUGGAAGCUAAGCAGGUCGGGUCUGGUUAGUAUGUGGAUGGGAGAAAAUCAUGCUGCUCUUAAUU